CUCCUACGGGAGGCAGCAGUGAGGAAUAUUGGUCAAUGGACGAGAGUCUGAACCAGCCAAGUAGCGUGAAGGAUGACUGCCCUAUGGGUUGUAAACUUCUUUUAUACGGGAAUAAAGUGAGGCACGUGUGCCUUUUUGCAUGUACCGUAUGAAUAAGGAUCGGCUAACUCCGUGCCAGCAGCCGCGGUAAUACGGAGGAUCCGAGCGUUAUCCGGAUUUAUUGGGUUUAAAGGGAGCGUAGGCGGACGCUUAAGUCAGUUGUGAAAGUUUGCGGCUCAACCGUAAAAUUGCAGUUGAUACUGGGUGUCUUGAGUACAGUAGAGGCAGGCGGAAUUCGUGGUGUAGCGGUGAAAUGCUUAGAUAUCACGAAGAACUCCGAUUGCGAAGGCAGCUUGCUGGACUGUAACUGACGCUGAUGCUCGAAGGUGUGGGUAUCAAACAGGAUUAGAUACCCUGGUAGUCCACACAGUAAACGAUGAAUACUCGCUGUUUGCGAUAUACAGUAAGCGGCCAAGCGAAAGCGUUAAGUAUUCCACCUGGGGAGUACGCCGGCAACGGUGAAACUCAAAGGAAUUGACGGGGGCCCGCACAAGCGGAGGAACAUGUGGUUUAAUUCGAUGAUACGCGAGGAACCUUACCCGGGCUUGAAUUGCAACUGAAUGAUGUGGAGACAUGUCAGCCGCAAGGCAGUUGUGAAGGUGCUGCAUGGUUGUCGUCAGCUCGUGCCGUGAGGUGUCGGCUUAAGUGCCAUAACGAGCGCAACCCUUAUCGAUAGUUACCAUCAGGUUAUGCUGGGGACUCUGUCGAGACUGCCGUCGUAAGAUGUGAGGAAGGUGGGGAUGACGUCAAAUCAGCAUGGCCCUUACGUCCGGGGCUACACACGUGUUACAAUGGGGGGUACAGAAGGCAGCUACACGGCGACGUGAUGCUAAUCCCUAAAGCCUCUCUCAGUUCGGAUUGGAGUCUGCAACCCGACCCCAUGAAGCUGGAUUCGCUAGUAAUCGCGCAUCAGCCACGGCGCGGUGAAUACGUUCCCGGGCCUUGUACACACCGC
This 1054-nucleotide ribosomal RNA is filed under the name uncultured bacterium. Its description in RNAcentral is "bacterial SSU rRNA". It matches the Rfam family "Bacterial small subunit ribosomal RNA", at positions 336 to 1393 of the family's 1533-position model. The record is from RNAcentral.